AGUGAACGCUGGCGGUAGGCCUAACACAUGCAAGUCGAACGGCAGCACAGGAGAGCUUGCUCUCUGGGUGGCGAGUGGCGGACGGGUGAGGAAUACAUCGGAAUCUACUCUGUCGUGGGGGAUAACGUAGGGAAACUUACGCUAAUAACGCAUAAGACCUACGGGUGAAAGCAGGGGAUCUUCGGACCUUGCGCGAUUGAAUGAGCCGAUGUCGGAUUAGCUAGUUGGCGGGGUAAAGGCCCACCAAGGCGACGGUCCGUAGCUGGUCUGAGAGGAUGAUCAGCCACACUGGAACUGAGACACGGUCCAGACUCCUACGGGAGGCAGCAGUGGGGAAUAUUGGACAAUGGGCGCAAGCCUGAUCCAGCCAUACCGCGUGGGUGAAGAAGGCCUUCGGGUUGUAAAGCCCUUUUGUUGGGAAAGAAAUCCAGCUGGUUAAUACCCGGUUGGGAUGACGGUACCCAAAGAAUAAGCACCGGCUAACUUCGUGCCAGCCGCCGCCGUAA
RNAcentral lists this ribosomal RNA (506 nucleotides) under uncultured bacterium. RNAcentral describes it as "partial 16S ribosomal RNA". It matches the Rfam family "Bacterial small subunit ribosomal RNA", at positions 29 to 523 of the family's 1533-position model. The record is from RNAcentral.